This 2247-nucleotide ribosomal RNA is filed under the name Escherichia coli. Its description in RNAcentral is "partial 23S ribosomal RNA". It matches the Rfam family "Bacterial large subunit ribosomal RNA", at positions 614 to 2842 of the family's 2925-position model. The record is from RNAcentral. Lineage: Bacteria; Pseudomonadati; Pseudomonadota; Gammaproteobacteria; Enterobacterales; Enterobacteriaceae.
AAUGGGUCAGCGACUUAUAUUCUGUAGCAAGGUUAACCGAAUAGGGGAGCCGAAGGGAAACCGAGUCUUAACUGGGCGUUAAGUUGCAGGGUAUAGACCCGAAACCCGGUGAUCUAGCCAUGGGCAGGUUGAAGGUUGGGUAACACUAACUGGAGGACCGAACCGACUAAUGUUGAAAAAUUAGCGGAUGACUUGUGGCUGGGGGUGAAAGGCCAAUCAAACCGGGAGAUAGCUGGUUCUCCCCGAAAGCUAUUUAGGUAGCGCCUCGUGAAUUCAUCUCCGGGGGUAGAGCACUGUUUCGGCAAGGGGGUCAUCCCGACUUACCAACCCGAUGCAAACUGCGAAUACCGGAGAAUGUUAUCACGGGAGACACACGGCGGGUGCUAACGUCCGUCGUGAAGAGGGAAACAACCCAGACCGCCAGCUAAGGUCCCAAAGUCAUGGUUAAGUGGGAAACGAUGUGGGAAGGCCCAGACAGCCAGGAUGUUGGCUUAGAAGCAGCCAUCAUUUAAAGAAAGCGUAAUAGCUCACUGGUCGAGUCGGCCUGCGCGGAAGAUGUAACGGGGCUAAACCAUGCACCGAAGCUGCGGCAGCGACACUAAGUGUUGUUGGGUAGGGGAGCGUUCUGUAAGCCUGUGAAGGUGUACUGUGAGGUAUGCUGGAGGUAUCAGAAGUGCGAAUGCUGACAUAAGUAACGAUAAAGCGGGUGAAAAGCCCGCUCGCCGGAAGACCAAGGGUUCCUGUCCAACGUUAAUCGGGGCAGGGUGAGUCGACCCCUAAGGCGAGGCCGAAAGGCGUAGUCGAUGGGAAACAGGUUAAUAUUCCUGUACUUGGUGUUACUGCGAAGGGGGGACGGAGAAGGCUAUGUUGGCCGGGCGACGGUUGUCCCGGUUUAAGCGUGUAGGCUGGUUUUCCAGGCAAAUCCGGAAAAUCAAGGCUGAGGCGUGAUGACGAGGCACUACGGUGCUGAAGCAACAAAUGCCCUGCUUCCAGGAAAAGCCUCUAAGCAUCAGGUAACAUCAAAUCGUACCCCAAACCGACACAGGUGGUCAGGUAGAGAAUACCAAGGCGCUUGAGAGAACUCGGGUGAAGGAACUAGGCAAAAUGGUGCCGUAACUUCGGGAGAAGGCACGCUGAUAUGUAGGUGAAGCGACUUGCUCGUGGAGCUGAAAUCAGUCGAAGAUACCAGCUGGCUGCAACUGUUUAUUAAAAACACAGCACUGUGCAAACACGAAAGUGGACGUAUACGGUGUGACGCCUGCCCGGUGCCGGAAGGUUAAUUGAUGGGGUUAGCGCAAGCGAAGCUCUUGAUCGAAGCCCCGGUAAACGGCGGCCGUAACUAUAACGGUCCUAAGGUAGCGAAAUUCCUUGUCGGGUAAGUUCCGACCUGCACGAAUGGCGUAAUGAUGGCCAGGCUGUCUCCACCCGAGACUCAGUGAAAUUGAACUCGCUGUGAAGAUGCAGUGUACCCGCGGCAAGACGGAAAGACCCCGUGAACCUUUACUAUAGCUUGACACUGAACAUUGAGCCUUGAUGUGUAGGAUAGGUGGGAGGCUUUGAAGUGUGGACGCCAGUCUGCAUGGAGCCGACCUUGAAAUACCACCCUUUAAUGUUUGAUGUUCUAACGUUGGCCCCUGAUCGGGGUUGCGGACAGUGUCUGGUGGGUAGUUUGACUGGGGCGGUCUCCUCCUAAAGAGUAACGGAGGAGCACGAAGGUUGGCUAAUCCUGGUCGGACAUCAGGAGGUUAGUGCAAUGGCAUAAGCCAGCUUGACUGCGAGCGUGACGGCGCGAGCAGGUGCGAAAGCAGGUCAUAGUGAUCCGGUGGUUCUGAAUGGAAGGGCCAUCGCUCAACGGAUAAAAGGUACUCCGGGGAUAACAGGCUGAUACCGCCCAAGAGUUCAUAUCGACGGCGGUGUUUGGCACCUCGAUGUCGGCUCAUCACAUCCUGGGGCUGAAGUAGGUCCCAAGGGUAUGGCUGUUCGCCAUUUAAAGUGGUACGCGAGCUGGGUUUAGAACGUCGUGAGACAGUUCGGUCCCUAUCUGCCGUGGGCGCUGGAGAACUGAGGGGGGCUGCUCCUAGUACGAGAGGACCGGAGUGGACGCAUCACUGGUGUUCGGGUUGUCAUGCCAAUGGCACUGCCCGGUAGCUAAAUGCGGAAGAGAUAAGUGCUGAAAGCAUCUAAGCACGAAACUUGCCCCGAGAUGAGUUCUCCCUGACUCCUUGAGAGUCCUGAAGGAACGUUGAA